CCUACGGGAGGCAGCAGUAGGGAAUAUUGCGCAAUGGGGGCAACCCUGACGCAGCAACGCCGCGUGAUUGAUGAAGGUCUUCGGAUUGUAAAAAUCUUUAAUCAGGGACGAAAAACGACGGUACCUGAAGAAUAAGCUCCGGCUAACUACGUGCCAGCAGCCGCGGUAAUA
This 171-nucleotide ribosomal RNA is filed under the name uncultured bacterium. Its description in RNAcentral is "partial 16S ribosomal RNA". It matches the Rfam family "Bacterial small subunit ribosomal RNA", at positions 338 to 525 of the family's 1533-position model. The record is from RNAcentral.